This 76-nucleotide transfer RNA is filed under the name Mycoplasmopsis californica. Its description in RNAcentral is "Mycoplasma californicum tRNA-Thr(cgt)". It matches the Rfam family "tRNA". Rfam says of the family: Transfer RNA (tRNA) molecules are approximately 80 nucleotides in length. Their secondary structure includes four short double-helical elements and three loops (D, anti-codon, and T loops). Further hydrogen bonds mediate the characteristic L-shaped molecular structure. tRNAs have two regions of fundamental functional importance: the anti-codon, which is responsible for specific mRNA codon recognition, and the 3' end, to which the tRNAs corresponding amino acid is attached (by aminoacyl-tRNA synthetases). tRNAs cope with the degeneracy of the genetic code in two manners: having more than one tRNA (with a specific anti-codon) for a particular amino acid; and 'wobble' base-pairing, i.e. permitting non-standard base-pairing at the 3rd anti-codon position. RNAcentral also lists the same sequence under 1 other name. Lineage: Bacteria; Bacillati; Mycoplasmatota; Mycoplasmoidales; Metamycoplasmataceae. The record is from RNAcentral.
GCUACCUUAGCUCACUAGGCAGAGCAAUUAACUCGUAAUUAAUAGGUAACAGGUUCGAAUCCUGUAGGUAGCACCA